UGAGAAUAAACAUGAAGAGUACUGUGACU
RNAcentral lists this non-coding RNA (29 nucleotides) under Rattus norvegicus (Norway rat). Lineage: Eukaryota; Metazoa; Chordata; Mammalia; Rodentia; Muridae. The record is from RNAcentral.